UGGCUCAGAACGAACGCUGGCGGCAGGCCUAACACAUGCAAGUCGAGCGCCGUAGCAAUACGGAGCGGCAGACGGGAGAGUAACACGUGGGAACGUACCCUUUGGUUCGGAACAACCCAGGGAAACUUGGGCUAAUACCGGAUAAGCCCUUACGGGGAAAGAUUCAUCGCCGAAGGAUCGGCCCGCGUCUGAUUAGCUAGUUGGUGGGGUAAUGGCCCACCAAGGCGACGAUCAGUAGCUGGUCUGAGAGGAUGAUCAGCCUCACUGGGACUGAGACACGGCCCAGAGUCCUACGGGAGGCAGCAGUGG
RNAcentral lists this ribosomal RNA (309 nucleotides) under uncultured Hyphomicrobiales bacterium. RNAcentral's name for it is "bacterial SSU rRNA". It matches the Rfam family "Bacterial small subunit ribosomal RNA", at positions 20 to 357 of the family's 1533-position model. The record is from RNAcentral. Lineage: Bacteria; Pseudomonadati; Pseudomonadota; Alphaproteobacteria; Hyphomicrobiales.